Molecule: ribosomal RNA, 482 nt
Filed under: uncultured bacterium
Lineage: Bacteria
Description: partial 16S ribosomal RNA
Rfam family: Bacterial small subunit ribosomal RNA
Source: RNAcentral
GACGAACGCCGGCGGCGUGCUUAACACAUGCAAGUCGAACGCUGAAGCUCAGCUUUUGUUGGGUGGAUGAGUGGCGAACGGGUGAGUAACACGUGAGUAACCUGCCUCCUUCUUUGGGAUAACGCCCGGAAACGGGUGCUAAUACUGGAUAUUCACUGGUCUUCGCAUGGGGGUUGGUGGAAAGGGUUUUUCUGGUGGGGGAUGGGCUCGCGGCCUAUCAGCUUGUUGGUGGGGUGAUGGCCUACCAAGGCUUUGACGGGUAGCCGGCCUGAGAGGGUGACCGGUCACAUUGGGACUGAGAUACGGCCCAGACUCCUACGGGAGGCAGCAGUGGGGAAUAUGGCACAAUGGGCGCAAGCCUGAUGCAGCGACGCCGCGUGAGGGAUGGAGGCCUUCGGGUUGUGAACCUCUUUCGCUCAUGGUCAAGCCGCAACAAUGGUUGUGGUGAGGGUAGUGGGUAAAGAAGCGCCGGCUAACUACGU